AUGAAUGCUGGCGACGUGGAUAAGGCAUGCAAGUCAAGGGGACCGCAAGGUAACCGGCAGACGAGGUAGUAACACGUAGGUACUCCCCCCGAAGUCUGGAAUAGCUCGUCGAAAGACGGGGUAAUACCAGAUGGUCACGGAAGUGUAAAGAUUUAUCGCUUCGGGAGAGGCCUGCGUAAUAUCAGCUAGUUGGUAAGGUAACGGCUUACCAAGGCUACGACGUUUAGGGGAGCUGAGAGGCUGACCCCCACCGAUGGGACUGAGACACGGCCCAUACUCCUACGGGAGGCCGCAGUCGAGAAUCUUCCGCAAUGGACGAAAGUCUGACGGAGCGACGUCGCGUGAUGGACGAAGUACUUCGGUACGUAAACAUCUUUUAUGUGGGACGAAAUUAUUGACGGUACCACAUGAAUAAGGGGCUCCUAACUCUGU
Molecule: ribosomal RNA, 432 nt
Filed under: uncultured bacterium
Lineage: Bacteria
Description: bacterial SSU rRNA
Rfam family: Bacterial small subunit ribosomal RNA
Source: RNAcentral